UACCUGCAGCCCAGGUGGUGCUCGUUAUUAUUGGGUCUAAAACGUCCGUAGUCGGCUGAGUAGAUGCCCGGGUAAAUCGCAGCGCUCAACGUUGCGAAUUCCGGGUAGACCGCUCGGCUAGGGAGUGGGAGAGGUGUGAGGUACUCUGAGGGUAGGGGUAAAAUCCUGUAAUCCUUGGGGGACCACCAGUGGCGAAGGCGUCACACUAGAACACGUCCGACGAUCAGGGACGAAGCCCUGGGGCGCAAACGGG
RNAcentral lists this ribosomal RNA (253 nucleotides) under uncultured bacterium. RNAcentral's name for it is "partial 16S ribosomal RNA". It matches the Rfam family "Archaeal small subunit ribosomal RNA", at positions 474 to 727 of the family's 1478-position model. The record is from RNAcentral.